This 235-nucleotide ribosomal RNA is filed under the name uncultured bacterium. RNAcentral's name for it is "partial 16S ribosomal RNA". It matches the Rfam family "Bacterial small subunit ribosomal RNA", at positions 99 to 334 of the family's 1533-position model. The record is from RNAcentral.
CGAACGGCGGAGUAAUACAUGAACAACGUGCCCUAAAGACUGGGAUAGCCAGCCGAAAGGCUGAGUAAUACCGGAUGUGGCCGACCCUCGGCAUCUUGGGUCGAUUAAAGGUUUUUCGCUUUAGGAGCGGUUCAUGGCCUAUCAGGUAGUUGGUGAGGUAAUGGCUCACCAAGCCGACGACGGGUAGCGGGUCUAAGAGGACGAUCCGCUCGAGUGGGACUGAGACACGGCCCAC